GAGUUUGAUCCUGGCUCAGGACGAACGCUGGCGGCGUGCCUAAUACAUGCAAGUCGAGCGAGCUGAAUUCAAAGAUCCCUUCGGGGUGAUUUGUUGGACGCUAGCGGCGGAUGGGUGAGUAACACGUGGGCAAUUUGCCCUAAAGACUGGGAUACCACUUGGAAACAGGUGCUAAUACCGGAUAACAACAUGAAUCGCAUGAUUCAAGUUUGAAAGGCGGCGCAAGCUGUCACUUUAGGAUGAGCCCGCGGCGCAUUAGCUAGUUGGUGGGGUAAAGGCCUACCAAGGCAAUGAUGCGUAGCCGAGUUGAGAGACUGAUCGGCCACAUUGGGACUGAGACACGGCCCAAACUCCUACGGGAGGCAGCAGUAGGGAAUCUUCCACAAUGGACGCAAGUCUGAUGGAGCAACGCCGCGUGAGUGAAGAAGGUUUUCGGAUCGUAAAGCUCUGUUGUUGGUGAAGAAGGAUAGAGGCAGUAACUGGUCUUUAUUUGACGGUAAUCAACCAGAAAGUCACGGCUAACUACGUGCCAGCAGCCGCGGUAAUACGUAGGUGGCAAGCGUUGUCCGGAUUUAUUGGGCGUAAAGCGAGCGCAGGCGGAAUGAUAA
This 608-nucleotide ribosomal RNA is filed under the name uncultured bacterium. RNAcentral describes it as "bacterial SSU rRNA". It matches the Rfam family "Bacterial small subunit ribosomal RNA", at positions 9 to 586 of the family's 1533-position model. The record is from RNAcentral.